This 839-nucleotide ribosomal RNA is filed under the name Pseudosperma keralense. RNAcentral describes it as "LSU rRNA". It matches the Rfam family "Eukaryotic large subunit ribosomal RNA", at positions 89 to 915 of the family's 3401-position model. The record is from RNAcentral. Lineage: Eukaryota; Fungi; Basidiomycota; Agaricomycetes; Agaricales; Inocybaceae.
GCGAGUGAAGUGGGAAAAGCUCAAAUUUAAAAUCUGGCGGUCAUUGACUGUCCGAGUUGUAAUCUAGAGAAGUGUUGCCCGUGCUGGACCAUGUACAAGUCUUCUGGAAUGGAGCAUCAUAGAGGGUGAGAAUCCCGUCUUUGACAUGGACUACCAGUGCUUUUUUGGUAUGCUCUCAAAGAGUCGAGUUGUUUGGGAAUGCAGCUCAAAAUGGGUGGUAAAUGCCAUCUAAAGCUAAAUAUUGGCGAGAGACCGAUAGCGAACAAGUACCGUGAGGGAAAGAUGAAAAGAACUUUGGAAAGAGAGUUAAACAGUACGUGAAAUUGCUGAAAGGGAAACGCUUGAAGUCAGUCACAUUGACUUGAAAUCAACCCUGCUUUUGCUGGGUGUACUUUCUUGUUGAUGGGUCAGCAUCAAUUUUGACCGUUGGAUAAAGUUAUUGGGAAUGUGACAUCUUUGGAUGUGUUAUAGCCCAUUGAUGCAUACAGCGGUUGAGAUUGAGGAAUUCAGCAUGCCGCAAGGCCGGGUUUUUAACCACGUUCGUGCUUAGGAUGCUGGCAUAAUGGCUUUAAUCGACCCGUCUUGAAACACGGACCAAGGAGUCUAACAUGCCUGCAAGUGUUUGGGUGAAAAAACCCAUGUGCGUAAUGAAAGUGAAAGUUGAGAUCCCUUAGGGGAGCAUCGACGCCCGGACCAGACCUUUUUGUGACGGAUCCGCGGUAGAGCAUGUAUGUUGGGACCCGAAAGAUGGUGAACUAUGCCUGAAUAGGGUGAAGCCAGAGGAAACUCUGGUGAGGCUCGUAGCGAUUCUGACGUGCAAAUCGAUCGUCAAAUUUGGG